UGAGGAAUAUUGGGCAAUGCCCGAAAGGGUGACCCAGCAACGCCGCGUGGAGGAUGAAGGUCGUAAGAUUGUAAACUCCUGUUAGAGGGGAAGAAUAACUAAGUUUGGAGCUUAGUAUGACUGUACCCUCAGAGAAAGCCCCGGCUAACUACGUGACAGCAGCCGCGGUAAUACGUAGGGGGCAAGCGUUGUCCGGAUUUACUGGGUGUACAGGGCGCGCAGGCGGAAUGGAAAGUCAGUGGUGAAAUCCUACGGCUUAACUGUAGAACUGCCUUUGAUACUUUCAUUCUUGAGUUCGGGAGAACGAGACGGAAUUCCAGGUGUAGUGGUGAAAUACGUAGAUAUCUGGAAGAACACCAGUUGCGAAGGCGGUCUCUUGGUCCGAUACUGACGCUGAGGCGCGAAAGCGUGGG
RNAcentral lists this ribosomal RNA (413 nucleotides) under uncultured bacterium. RNAcentral's name for it is "bacterial SSU rRNA". It matches the Rfam family "Bacterial small subunit ribosomal RNA", at positions 355 to 765 of the family's 1533-position model. The record is from RNAcentral.